AAAAAAAAAAAAAAAAAACACCAAAGCAUCAUCUGGGAGUUUUCAUUGCUUUCUAUUCCCUGAAGCAUAGGACUUAUGAAUGUGUUAAGUAUAGAUGACAGUGAAAUGUAGAUUUCUUCCACGGAAACCUUCCAAAUGGGUUUCUUCUAUUUUCUUUCAUAAAAAUAAAAACUCUAUUUCUCAGCCUUAUGCUUGAGGUAGUGCCUCUCCCUCCCUCUCCAUUCCUCCCUUUCUCUCCCUAUCCCCUCCCCCCCCCCGCACUCAGAAAAGCCACACACACACUUGAUAGCGCCAUGAUCAACCAGGGUGUCUAUGCAGUUCUUGUCUAAUCCCAUGGCAGCCCUUACAUCAGAAGUAAAGUAACUGUAGUGUGUAGGUGUUCCUCCUUUCCCUCCCUUUGUAGGGUUCCCCACUGCUAAAUCCCUUAAUUCCUUUGAGAACACCAUUUCACUUCACCUCAUACAGACACAGUAACAUCUUGAGAAGAUCAUAUAACAUGAUAUGUUUGUUCCUAGAAAAUCAGGCUCCGUUUGAAGAUCCUGGAAGAAGCUGUUGACCUCUGUGUUUGAUUAACUGUCAAAUGAGCAUAUGGUCCCCCAAUAUCUCUACCAGGGGUGAAGAGAAGAAGAAAGAUUAAUCUGUAGUGGGUCAUGUCCUUGUUCUGACUCUGGCUUACCUUUACCACUUUUUUUUUUUUUUCCUUUACCACUUUUUCAUGAUAAAGCACCCAUCGAAAGUUAAGUCAAGACAUAGAUGUUCAGCAGAUGGUCCCGGCUCAAAUUUAGAAGAUGCAGCAGAAUUGAGCAGAGGAUGAGCACCCCUGAUAAGCUCCUGUUAAGUUAGCAGCACACUCAAAAUGAUAAAUUGGUGCUUUUUUCCCCUGCAAAUUUCAGUCUUGAUCCCAAAACAUAAAGAUUUUGGGGCGGGAAAUCCUCAAAGCUGCUCCUCAAAACUUUCCUUGGAAUAAUGUGCCAAGUAUGUAAACCUUAGUGUCCCUUGGCAGAGAAUCCACAUCUUGCAAUGGUGUGUUUCCAAUAUGAGAAAAAUGUGCUGCUGACAGUUUGCUUAUGAAAACCGCUGAGGGUGAGUUCAGGUGACUCUGACACAGUGGGAAAAAAACAGUAUGAUAGGGGUGGCAGGAACAGGUCAUGAAAAGCACAAUUCUAAUCUACUCUUUUAAUCCCUGACCUAGAUCCCCCUUAAGCAGAUGUGGCAUAAAGAAAAUAGAAUGUGUUUACUAGACGUGUUUCUGGUCAUUUGUUACACAACAGAUAAGGACAUAGUUUAAUACAUACUAGAGCAAUUAAUGUUUGCAAAUUUUAAAAAAAAUAUAAUGUAAAAAAUAAACAUUCUUUGAAUCUAGGGAACUGAAGACCAGCUAGGUGUAGAAAUAAAUUAGAUAACUAUCAAGUUGUUGAAAUAAAUUCUUAUCAUACAUGACAAAGAAUACAACCUUGCUCUUCUUACCUACCUGGUUAGAAAAUGAUCAGCUUGUUUAUGUGUUUUCACCUUGAUAUGAUAAAAUAGAAGGUGUGGAAAUAUGAACCCUUCAAAAAUUAUUCUCUUCCCUCCCAUAAUGGAGACAUAGAUGAGUUUUUCUGAAUGAGGGACAAAUCUUCCUUCCUUACAGUGCUAAUCCCACUGUCUAUCAUUUCCUCUUUUAUUGUUACUUUAUUUGGUGGGGAGGAGGGGGGUCAUGAUAUGCAUUUAAAAGUGAUUUUUUUUGGUGUUGGAAUUCACAAAUAAAUUUGGAGAUUUCUAGGUUGCAUUUGUUUUAUCCAUGGGCAUACCAUCUAUUAACCGAAACCGAUUGUGUAUGUACACUGGAUGCUUCUAUUCAUGCUCCCUUGCAAAUGUGCAUUGCAAGCAUCAUUACAGAGGUUUCCAUACACAUUUAUACUUUCUGGCAUUUUUGAACAUUCUAACUAGCGGAUGCACAAAUUUAUUGUAUGAAUAUCUUUAUACGUUUACUCCCCUAUCUAUGUAUAUAACACGUCUGUAUUCAUGGGUUCCAGGAUAUAAAUUCAGCAAAAUAUGCCUGUAUCAGUCAAAUGCUUUUUUUUUUGCUCUAAUUUUAUUCCUAUUUAUAUCUUUCAUGUUGCUUUGACACAAGUAAUUUCUUUUUUUUUCCUUUUUCUUUCUUUCCAAGUUUUAUUUGAAUUCCAAUGAGUUAACAUACAGUGUAACAUACAGUUUCGUGUUAACAAGGGAAUUUUCUUCUUUAAAGAUGUUAUUUAUUUAUUUGAGAUGGAGGAGAGAGCACAAGUGGGGAGGAGGUCAGAGGGAGAGUAAGAAGCCUCAGGGCACAAUCCCAGGACCCUGAGAUCAUGACCUGAGAUGAAGGCAGACGCUUAACUUACUGAGCCAUCGAGGCAUCCCAACAAGGGAAUUUUAUUUUAUUUUAUUUUUUUUAUAAAUUUAUUUUUUAUUGGUGUUCAGUUUGCCAACAUAUAGAAUAACACCCAGUGCUCUUCCCAUCAAGUGCCCCCCUCAUUGCCUGUCACCCAGUAACCCCCACACCCAGCCCACCUCCCCUUCUACCACCCCUAGUUCCCAACAAGGGAAUUUUAAAAACACAGGAGAUAAUUGUGUAUAUGUAGUUAAGUGAACAUUCAGGGCAGUUGCAAUGAACACAGUGUGCUAAUUUAGGCUGUGCAAAUGGACACAACAAAUUAUUAUCUCAAAUCAGUCAUUAAAUAUAAUCAUCCCCAACCCUUGUAGACACAGGUGUGGCUGAUGUACCUCUCUAGUGUCUAGUGAUUUGUCUGAAGUUUGAACUAGACUAAGAAAUUACAUUUGGGGCUAUUUGCUAGAUGUCCUAAAAAGGGGAAUUCUUUUCAGCAUGGUUUUGUGGAGACACAAAGGAAUUUUACCUAUCCUGAUGGUAACCAAACUACUUUUUAUUUAGAGGAAAAAAUUCACUUUGACUAUACUUAAAGCAAAGGUACAUUGUUAGAGAAAUAAGAAGGAAGUCAUAAGACCAAGGAAGAAGAGGUAGUUCACGUAUCUCAAGUGAUAAUGAGAGAAUGUUCUUAACAACAGGAAAUUGUUGUAGAAGUUUUGAGGUAUGGAUUGCUUUGAAAAUCACUACACAUUUAAAAACGAGUACCUGUUUAUGAGAAAGUAUUUUGUUUAGGCUUUCUUUUUUUUUUUUUUUUCUUCUUUAAAAUAAAGUUACACACUU
Molecule: long non-coding RNA, 3184 nt
Filed under: Canis lupus familiaris (dog)
Lineage: Eukaryota; Metazoa; Chordata; Mammalia; Carnivora; Canidae
Description: lncRNA (ENSCAFG00845023915.1)
Source: RNAcentral